Molecule: ribosomal RNA, 474 nt
Filed under: uncultured bacterium
Lineage: Bacteria
Description: partial 16S ribosomal RNA
Rfam family: Bacterial small subunit ribosomal RNA
Source: RNAcentral
GACGAACGCUGGCGGCGUGCUUAACACAUGCAAGUCGAGCGGAAAGGCCCUUCGGGGUACUCGAGCGGCGAACGGGUGAGUAAAGCGAGGGCAACCUGCACCUCGCUCUGGGAUAACUCCGGAAAACCGGGGCUAAUACCGGAUACGACCACGGACGACACCCUCUGCGGUGGAAAGUUUUUCGGCGAGGGAUGGACCCGCGGCCUAUCAGCUUGUUGGGUGGGUAACGGCCCACCAAGGCGACGACGGGUAGCCGGCCUGAGAGGGCGACCGGCCACACUGGGACUGAGACACGGCCCAGACUCCUACGGGAGGCAGCAGUUUGGAAUAUUGGACAAUGGACGAAAGUCUGAUCCAGCGACGUCGCGUGGACGAUGAAGGCCUUCGGGUUGUAAAGUCCUUUUGGCAGGGAACAAUUUUUGAGUGUACCUGCAGAAUAAGAGGUUGCUAACUCUGUGCCAGCCGCCGCCGUAA